This is a long non-coding RNA of Hemicordylus capensis (graceful crag lizard), 2198 nucleotides long. RefSeq lists it as uncharacterized. Lineage: Eukaryota; Metazoa; Chordata; Lepidosauria; Squamata; Cordylidae. The record is from RefSeq and is a predicted model, not a curated record. The transcript is spliced from 3 exons.
CCUCCUAUCACUGCUACUCUUCCUUCUUCCUGCUCCUCCCAUUCAUCUAUCCUGCUUCCUGCCAUUUCUGCCUCUCCCUUUCAGAUGAUAUGUCAGUUAACGGGCAUUUCUGGAGGCCAUCCAUUCCUCAUCUAAGACUCAGGAAAGAGUGCCUGGCAUUACUUGGAUCCCCAAAUUUAACAUCUUUCCAGAGUUCUUUAUUUUCUUAGCCAAUUCAACAAAAUAAGCAACCUGUUACUCUCCCAGCAUCAAAGUGCAGACAGCAAGAACCAAUCAACGCAGAGCUUCUAGGAGUCCCAGCAUACCAAGAGUCAAGAUCUCCUUGUAUUCAUUCAUACCGCUUACCAUGACCUUUUGACUGCACCACAUAAAAGGAUGGAAAAUAGGUUGGUGGAAUAGCAAAGGUGGCAUGCAUAAGAAACAAAUAGGAACAGUACACUAGCGAUUUAAUAAAGAGUAAUCCCUUGUUAAGAGCCCUUGUUAGGAGCCCCUUUGUGCCCCGUGAUCGCGGCAACCUUGGCUCCAGCCUCAGAGUUUGGGCUGUUGAGCUAAUCUCCCUUCAGAUGCCUGUUUGCGACACUGGCCGCCUGUCCUAGAGCUCUUGCCCCUCAGCCCUUGGUUCCUUGAGCUCCCACUCACUGGGCAGCUCUCACCAGUCUGACCCCGUCAUCAUCAGCCAGCCAAUCUUUAUAUUCUGUCAAAAUCCCACAGGUUGUCUCAUGAGAGUUCUUGGUCUUCCCGGAACUCCCACGAGACAGCAGGCACAAGAUCUCGCAAGCCCACGUGAUCUCGCAAGGUCUUGUGAGAUUUCACAAUUUGAACCCGACACUCCAUUGGGGCAGGAGAGAAGCCAGAGGGGGCAAAAUGAGCCCAGCAGAGGGCUUAUCACAGUGUUCAGAGGUAAAGCCUCUGGACACCAAGGAAGGGGCCUGGCACUGGUGCCCACCACCUUUGUCAGGUGAGCAAUGAUGAUGGGACCCUGACAUCCCUACUAGAGUUUUACCUAGAGAUCUACUACUUAGAUCUAGUCUCUACUUGGAGACUAGCUAAUCUGUUUAGAAGUUGAGGACAGUUUUCUGUUUUGUAAACCACUUCCCCAGAAGAAGAGUUCGAUUCAAAAUGCAUCGGGUUCUACUCUUUAACAAAUUGCUACUGUGCUGUUCCUGUUUCUUGCUUUCCUAUUUGUUGGUGCAGUGCUUUCCCCUCCUGUGUGUUUCAUGUAUAAGAAACACACAGGCCUUCCCAAGGAUUCAAGUCUUCCUGGAGGAGCAAUACUCAUCUGAGAGAAAGGAGCUAGGAAGGAUCUAGGACAAGCAGCAAAAGCACCACAGCUACACUCUUACAGGAGUCAUCCCCAUUCAUUCACUGCAUAGGGCUCCAGGCUAGGAAGCAUGUGGACUGGGUUGAAGUCCUACCCAUGAGAACCAUAGAUUCAGGACCAAGCUUGUAUUUUGCACACCUGGCCACCAGCAGAGGCUAAAACAGGAAGCAGGGGGGACUCAAACCCACACAGCAAACUACAGAGCAACCUGCAAUGUUAGCCACCCAGUCACAGUAGCUAAGGGAGGACACACUUUGGGAACAAUAGUUUUGUGAGUGUGCUGAAAAUUCUUUGUUAAAGACCUCCAGCCCCUUCAAGAACUACAGUUCCCAGAGACCCUUGGUGGGAAACCAUGGCAGGUAAACAGGUUUGAAACUGGAUUAUGUUUGUAGUGAGGAUGUGCCCAAAAUGUCCGAGACUGACCCCUUAGCAGCUAAAAAUGGUCCGCAGAGCUGGGCCACUACCAGGUAGUUUAGAGGAGCUGUCAUUGCCUGUGGCACACAUGUCCUUUUUCUGUGUACUGUCACAGUCUCUGGUACCUCCUAAUUUCAACCACUUAUGCAACCUCCAUGGACUUUCCCAGACAGCAGGGUUUACUGUGAGGCUUUACUGCAAUUCGAAGUUGCCCCCCCCCCAAAAAAAAGACACAAGAAGUGGACUUUUUUUUUUAAACCCUGGAUAUAAAUAGGACUACAUUCUAAUGUGUAAUGAAAAAUCCAAACUGUGUGUGAAGUGCUCCCAGAUACACAGGGACUCACAGGGACUUCAAAGUAAAUCUGGCUGAUAUGUGAACUGUUGGAGUUAGGACCCUGGCAGCAUCAGCUCUCAGCUGCAAUGUCUCAUAGUGACCACUGGGGGUGGGUGGGUUAGGGUCAUG